AGUCAUCUCUCCUCUCCCCCUUCGCCAUUGGAUAGUGGAAGGCCCCGCCCACAUCGUUUGCUCCAACCACAGCUCUUCAGGGUAACAAAGACUCCAGCGGCUGAGGUGGUUCAGAAGUGUUUGGAGCUUUCUCAAGACAGGCCUGUGUCUGUUCUGGAUAAUGAACGAUUUACUGUACAAAGUUUACUAGAAAGAGGCCCAGCGCCUUUUGUGCUGGUGCUGCUUCUGAGGCUGAAUCUAUUGCGCAUUUUGUUUGGCGCUCCUGGUGUGGGACCGUGGCCUGUCACACUCCUGCAGCUACCCAACUACACAAAUUCACAUACACUCAUGAACACUGAAAAACACUUGAAAAUACUAUAAAUAUAUUAGUGAUACUGUAUAUUGGAAACAUAUCAAAAUCACAAAUUCACCCCCCCAAAAAAAAAGGAAAUUUAAUUACUCUCAGGUCAUCUAAAAUAUAGGUGAGUUUGUUUUUCAUUGGAACAGAUUUGGAGAAAUACAGCAUUACAUCACUUGCUUGCCAGUGGAUCCUCUGCAGUGAAUGGGUGCCGUCAGAAUGAGAGUCCAAAGAGCUACUUGUGCUUACUUGUGGAUUAUUAUGUUUUUAUCAGCUGUUUGAGCACUUACUAUUUAUCUCUUUGUUUAGCUGUGAAUUAUAUUUUUUGAUGCCUUAUUUCACAGAAAUUAAAUUUUACUUUAUGCAAGAUGUAGUUUAUAUUGAGAAAUAACAUUUCAACAGUGUUUAUUUAAAAAUACUGACCAAAACAUACAUCUGUAUUUACAUCUGAAGUAAAUAUAUGAAAUGUUGUCUUUCAGGUGAAUGGUGUUCUGCCGUUGUUGCCCCUGACUUUCCCCCUGCUUUGGGUUCUUGUGUGCAUGUACGGAGAGGCCCGUGUUCUUCUACUGAUGGGCUCACAGCCAGCGGACUGGUGGGAAAUGUGGAAGUUGACCUGAAAGAAACGUUACUCAGUGUUCUGGUGUCAAACAUCGACACUCUGCCACAAUGCUAGUUUGCCACACAGUCUGGGAUCUGUGACUGUAAGUGCAAAAGACAUCAGGCACAAAACGGUGCUGAAGGCACAAUUAAAUAUAUGCAUGUCAUUGCAUUCAGCAUCAGCUGGCAUCUGAAAACAAAUUGUGUUUAAAAUAAUUGCCAUUUGUGUUUAUAUUUGAUCAAAUGCAAUGGAAUUCAUACAUUUUUAUCUGUGUGUAUUCUGUUUGAAUUAUAGCUUACCUACUGUACAAUACAUUGCAUUAUGUUUCCUGUGAUACACACACACACUGAGUGAUGCUGGGGCAGUAAAUGUUAUUUUAUCUCUCUCAGGGUAAUUCAAUACUGUCACAAGAGCUUUUGAGUGUGUUCCAGAAUGCAGUUUGUUACAGUAUCAGUAUGCAAGAAUAUGAACUAAUGUGAACUUUGUUUUCUCUGCACUUCUCAUGAUUACAUUUCUGAAAAUGUUUUCAUAAAUAUAACAAAAUAUCUUGAUAUAUCUCAAGAUAUCUAAAUGGGCCACGAUUAAGAACCAAGAUAUUUGUGAAAAAAACCAUGGAAGAAACAAGUAUCAGAAAGUACAAAGAAAGUAAAAAUAUGUUAAUUUUUUUUAUAUAUUUCAAUGCCAAAAAAAAACACACGGGUGCAGUUUGAUGACACAUGCUGGCAGCGUCACGCCCCCUCUCUUCGGCCUCUGGGAUUGGCUUUGCAGUUGGUCCACUGUGACCCUGGUGUCGUCACCCGCAUACUCCACCUCUCCGACCACCUGACCCAUGCCGCGCUGGUGCGCACUCGACCCCCAUGUCAGCCGGUCCGCCCACCCUGGGGCCUCUGCCAUUUACCGAGGAUUCUGGGCUUCUCCACCUCCGCGAAAGAGCCUUUUCUGCAGAGAAUGAGUGCGGCAGCCUACACCCUGCCCUCCAUCUCCUGCCCUGGAGACCCGGGGAUCAUUGCUCCACCUUCUGUGUGAAUGAGACACCUCUCAUAGCCUUGCUGGUGCACCACACUU
Carassius auratus (goldfish) is the source of this 2000-nucleotide long non-coding RNA. RefSeq lists it as uncharacterized. Lineage: Eukaryota; Metazoa; Chordata; Actinopteri; Cypriniformes; Cyprinidae. The record is from RefSeq and is a predicted model, not a curated record. The transcript has 5 exons.